RNAcentral lists this ribosomal RNA (520 nucleotides) under uncultured Glomus. RNAcentral's name for it is "SSU rRNA". It matches the Rfam family "Eukaryotic small subunit ribosomal RNA", at positions 569 to 1084 of the family's 1831-position model. The record is from RNAcentral. Lineage: Eukaryota; Fungi; Glomeromycota; Glomeromycetes; Glomerales; Glomeraceae.
AGCAGCCGCGGUAAUUCCAGCUCCAAUAGCGUAUAUUAAAGUUGUUGCAGUUAAAAAGCUCGUAGUUGAAUUUCGGGAUCAAUACGUCGGUCGUGCUUUCGGGUACGUACUGGCGUCAUUGGUUUCUCCUUUCUGACGAACCAUGAUGUCAUUAAUUUGGUGUUAUGGGGAGUUAGGACUGUUACUUUGAAAAAAUUAGAGUGUUUAAAGCAGGCAUUAGCUUGAAUACAUUAGCAUGGAAUAAUGAAAUAGGACGUUCGAUCCUAUUUUGUUGGUUUCUAGGAUCAACGUAAUGAUUAAUAGGGAUAGUUGGGGGCAUUAGUAUUCAAUUGUCAGAGGUGAAAUUCUUGGAUUUAUUGAAGACUAACUACUACGAAAGCAUUUGCCAAGGAUGUUUUCAUUAAUCAAGAACGAAAGUUAGGGGAUCGAAGACGAUCAGAUACCGUCGUAGUCUUAACCAUAAACUAUAGCCGACUAGGGGAUCGGAUGAUGUUAAUUUUUUUAAUUGUACUCAUUCGGC